CUAGUUUCAUCUUCAUGUCAGGAGACAUGCUUCAACCACAUGUCUUUUUCUGGAAGAAAUAUUUUACCAGUUGUACUUGCUCAAGGCAGGUCAGCCAUAGAGCAGAAUUGAAGAUAUGGAUACUCCAAAGAAGAGAUAAAGUGUGGACAGGGAAAAAAGGUGGAAGUCAGGAUACCGGGGUGAGACUGUCUGUUGGGAUUCUAAAAACGGCAUGUGCUGAGCGAUGGCAUCAGAUUCUCCGGUUGGCUCUUAAACUGCAGCUACAUCAUACAGAGAGGAGCCAGAAAGAUGAAACCUUCACAGUCAAGCAAGGAGUCCCACAGACACAAUUUCCAUUUUCAAGAAGAUUGGUGGUAUUAAUUCUGCUGCAACAACAGCAUUCUCUACC
Long non-coding RNA from Callithrix jacchus (white-tufted-ear marmoset), 388 nucleotides. RefSeq lists it as uncharacterized. The record is from RefSeq and is a predicted model, not a curated record. Lineage: Eukaryota; Metazoa; Chordata; Mammalia; Primates; Cebidae.